This is a non-coding RNA of Podarcis lilfordi (Lilford's wall lizard), 71 nucleotides long. Lineage: Eukaryota; Metazoa; Chordata; Lepidosauria; Squamata; Lacertidae. The record is from the annotation of a GenBank genome assembly.
GCCAACAGUCGCGUUGGUAGAACAUGAGACUCUUAAUCUCAGAGUUGUGGGUUCAAGCCCCAUGCUGGGCA